UGGUGGAUGUACUGGUGACCACUGCUG
Molecule: non-coding RNA, 27 nt
Filed under: Rattus norvegicus (Norway rat)
Lineage: Eukaryota; Metazoa; Chordata; Mammalia; Rodentia; Muridae
Source: RNAcentral